Molecule: non-coding RNA, 28 nt
Filed under: Rattus norvegicus (Norway rat)
Lineage: Eukaryota; Metazoa; Chordata; Mammalia; Rodentia; Muridae
Source: RNAcentral
UAACUGGUUUUAGAGAAGCCCAGAUGGU